GCUUUAGAGAAUACAGGCCUAACCAGAAUGAUGCUUCCCAACUGUGUGCCGGGUAACACUUUAGGAGGUACCACAGCAGCACUUCUUGAUAGUGUGUUUAUUCUCACUUGUAUUAAAAUAUAAUUAACCCAUUAAAUCCAUGAUUUUAUAAAUUUUUGGCUGAGGUUUCAAUUAAAUGAGGUUGCACUUUACACAUACGGAAUGAAUUGCUUUUCUGUGGUACAUUGACUUUGAUGAUACACAGUUAUUGCAAGAAUCAUAAAAGUGGUUCCAGGAUGUCUGAAGUUGGGAAAUGACAACCUUUUGGGUAACUGGCCAGUAUAAACUGAGGCUGUCGCUCAUGCAGUCUUCGCCUCUGAGAACCUGUGUUAUUUUUUUCCUCCUGUAAACUUCAUAUUUUGAAAGCUUUUUUUCCAUCGUACACAAAUGAACUCAUUAUGUAAUCAUUUAUUUUUCUGUUGAAAGAUAUCUAUACCUGCUGAUGAGCAUAAAGUAGUUGGCGUCACUGGCUGAACUGGUGUAACUCCAGCAAACCUCCAACAACUAACUCCAAACAAAAGCAUAAUCUGUCCUUAGUUGCUAACAGUUGUCAGCAAGUAUUGGAAGCCACUUAAAGGUUCCCCAGGAAUGGAGAAUUUAUUUUAAAUAGAGAGGGACCUUGCAUGGAACCCAAGGGCCAAUAUCAGGAACAGCUGGAUCCAGGAAUUGGGAGGUGACCAGCUCCCCAGAAAGAAUUUUCUCUUGUUCUCUUAUCCCUGGUUCUUUCGCAGAUCUUUAUUCUCUCAACAGAUUACCUUUUCCUGCCAUCCUGUCCUGAUAAGAGACAAAAGCAUGGCUAUCCACAGUCCCCAAGUUCUGUUUGAGCAGCUCUCUUAGCUCUGAUUCCCUGUCUCUGGGGAAGAGACUCUGAUUGACCCUGCUUGGGUCAGAUGUCCUUUCUGAUGUCCUUUCUGGUACAUUGCAGUUGUUCAAUACAACCAUGAUUGAAGAGCAAAUUAUUUAAACUUAUGAUUACAUAAAUUAUUUUUAAACAUAAUAAUGCCUCAAAAACCAUCACUUUAUUGCAUUUUAUUAUUUAUGCUCUUGAGGUUACUUACGAUUGUUUUAUGGUAGAACUACUACAUAAUGAUGUUAUGAUGUGCAUUACCCUCAUCAGAGACAGCAUGUUGGAAGCUUGAAAUCAGCCAUGGUGGGAAUAUUUACACCAAGGAAAUGGGCAAGUGCUACAAAUCAGGGUGUUGUCCUAAUUGUUGUUGCCUGGAGAGCUCAUUUUAAAAUAUUUAUCAGUACAUGACUGAAUCCAGUCUGCUCCAGAUGGCUCUUAGUCCUGGGUCCCUUUCUCUGUCAAAAGAAUGGUGACAACAUCCCACCUCCUGGAUGGGUCAGGGGAAUAGGACCAUUAAGAGAAUCUCUGUAAACUAGUCUUCACCCACCCAAAUCUAAAGGCUUUCCUUUUGUACAUAAUCAAUAUCCUGAUUCUUACUUUAUGCUACAAAAUGACAGGCGAAAGUUUGGACACCGUUUCUAGAUGAGUUCCCGUCGUGGCGCAGUGGUUAACGAAUCCGACUAGCAACCAUGAGGUUGCGGGUUCGGUCCCUGCCCUUGCUCAGUGGGUUAACGAUCCGGCGUUGCCGUGAGCUGUGGUGUAGGUUGCAGACACGGCUCGGAUCCCGCGUUGCUGUGGCUCUGGCGUAGGCCGGUGGUUACCGAUUCAACCCCUGGCCUGGGAACCUCCAUAUGCCGCGGGAGCGGCCCAAGAAAUAGCAACAACAACAACAAC
RNAcentral lists this long non-coding RNA (1780 nucleotides) under Sus scrofa (pig). RNAcentral describes it as "lncRNA (ENSSSCG00015032350.1)". The record is from RNAcentral. Lineage: Eukaryota; Metazoa; Chordata; Mammalia; Artiodactyla; Suidae.